Molecule: ribosomal RNA, 253 nt
Filed under: uncultured bacterium
Lineage: Bacteria
Description: partial 16S ribosomal RNA
Rfam family: Bacterial small subunit ribosomal RNA
Source: RNAcentral
GACAGAGGGUGCAAACGUUGUUCGGAAUUACUGGGCAUAAAGGGCACGUAGGUGGUUCGCUAAGUUACGUGUGAAAUCCCCCGGCUCAACCGGGGAAUUGCGCGUGAUACUGGCGGACUCGAGGCGGGUAGGGGUGAGCGGAACUCCAGGUGGAGCGGUGAAAUGCGUAGAUAUCAGGAGGAACACCGGUGGUGUAGACGGCUUUCUGGACCGUAACUGACGCUGAGACACGAAAGCGUGGGUAGCAAACAGG